AGUGAGCGCUGGCGGUAGGCCUAACACAUGCAAGUCGAACGGCAGCACAGUAAGAGCUUGCUCUUACGGGUGGCGAGUGGCGGACGGGUGAGGAAUACAUCGGAAUCUACUUUUUCGUGGGGGAUAACGUAGGGAAACUUACGCUAAUACCGCAUACGACCUACGGGUGAAAGCAGGGGAUCUUCGGACCUUGCGCGAUUGAAUGAGCCGAUGUCGGAUUAGCUAGUUGGCGGGGUAAAGGCCCACCAAGGCGACGAUCCGUAGCUGGUCUGAGAGGAUGAUCAGCCACACUGGAACUGAGACACGGUCCAAACUCCUACGGGAGGCAGCAGUGGGGAAUAUUGGACAAUGGGCGCAAGCCUGAUCCAGCCAUACCGCGUGGGUGAAGAAGGCCUUCGGGUUGUAAAGCCCUUUUGUUGGGAAAGAAAAGCAGCAGGUUAAUACCCCGCUGUUCUGACGGUACCCAAAGAAUAAGCACCGGCUAACUUCGU
Molecule: ribosomal RNA, 491 nt
Filed under: uncultured bacterium
Lineage: Bacteria
Description: partial 16S ribosomal RNA
Rfam family: Bacterial small subunit ribosomal RNA
Source: RNAcentral